CAGCUGAUAGCAAUCGCUCUACCUACACCGGAGUUUCACAAAGAAAAUUACAAGACAAAAAUAAUAAUAAAGAGAAGUAAAUAAAUGUGCAAAAGGAAAUAAUCAGAUAAUCAUGAAAUCAAAACAGGAGAAGCUAGAAAAAAAAUUGUAUCUCAUUUGAUGCUACCAGAAGAUAAUCAUAUGAUUAACUAAAGAUUUGUAAUUGUCCAGCAGAAUCUAGAUCAUAGAAGUAAAAGACUGGAAGUCAGACUCAACCUCAGCCAUUACAGUUUCAAUG
RNAcentral lists this unclassified non-coding RNA (277 nucleotides) under Hevea brasiliensis (rubber tree). The record is from RNAcentral. Lineage: Eukaryota; Viridiplantae; Streptophyta; Magnoliopsida; Malpighiales; Euphorbiaceae.